GUGCCAGCAGCCGCGGUAAUACCGGCAGCCCGAGUGAUGGCCGAUCUUAUUGGGCCUAAAGCGUCCGUAGCUGGCCGCGCAAGUCCAUCGGAAAAUCCACCCGCCCAACGGGUGGGCGUCCGGUGGAAACUGCGUGGCUUGGGACCGGAAGGCGCGACGGGUACGUCCGGGGUAGGAGUGAAAUCCCGUAAUCCUGGACGGACCGCCGAUGGCGAAAGCACGUCGCGAAGACGGAUCCGACAGUGAGGGACGAAAGCCAGGGUCUCCAACCGGAUUAGAUACCCUGUAUCC
Molecule: ribosomal RNA, 291 nt
Filed under: uncultured bacterium
Lineage: Bacteria
Description: partial 16S ribosomal RNA
Rfam family: Archaeal small subunit ribosomal RNA
Source: RNAcentral